Dryobates pubescens (Downy woodpecker) is the source of this 665-nucleotide long non-coding RNA. RefSeq lists it as uncharacterized. The record is from RefSeq and is a predicted model, not a curated record. The transcript is spliced from 4 exons. NCBI's taxonomy places the organism in Eukaryota, Metazoa, Chordata, Aves, Piciformes, Picidae.
GCUCACGUAUGCAUACGAGAAUGAAACUUCUGUACAUUUUAAUCUGAUUAAUUCCUAAGGAUUUAAAGUUAAUUGGCUUGGGCACUCCUAGACCGGACUAUAAGACUUCUGCAUCAGGGUUUCUACCAGUGCUGUAUCGAAUAGAUAUUUUUAAGGGAUAGUGGUAAAGGGAUAUGGGGUGGGGUGGUGGUGGGGAGAAUCCUGGUUUGUGAAUUUUUUUUUUUUUCAAACGAGAAACCGUGCCUCGCAUGCUGUUGUCAGAGCAAAACACUUUCGCUGCUUAAAGUCAGAUCUACGUCUUUUGCAAUAAUACUUAAAAAAAAAAAAAAAAAGGAUAAAUAAUUGCCUUAAAGCCUCAGCCGAGCUGCCAACCACACCUUCGGAUGUCUGAAGGCAGAAAUAUGUGAACUGCUGAGAGAGGUGGGUACUUUUUGAAGCUGUCUCAAGCAAAAUCAUCGCAAGCAUUUCCCAGCCCACUGCUAAGGAAUCUGGAAGAUGCCCAGGUCUGAGACAAUGGUGAGGACUGGGACAAAAUUCUGCUUCAGACUGGAUUCCUCCAUCUGAGUAGUUCUGUCUGGACCUACAAUUGCUGAUGGGCUGCAGCAAUGUGGACCUUUCUCUCUCUCCUUACUCCACAGCAUCAAAUCACCAGAAGGGCCUAAGAU